This 468-nucleotide ribosomal RNA is filed under the name uncultured bacterium. Its description in RNAcentral is "partial 16S ribosomal RNA". It matches the Rfam family "Bacterial small subunit ribosomal RNA", at positions 28 to 507 of the family's 1533-position model. The record is from RNAcentral.
GACGAACGCUGGCGGCGUGCUUAACACAUGCAAGUCGAACGGAAAGGCCCGGCGUUUGUGGGGUGCUCGAGUGGCGAACGGGUGAGUAACACGUGAGUAAACUGUACUUGUCUUUGGGGUAACUUCAGGAAACUGGGGCUCAUAUCGGAUAGGAGCUCCUGCUGCAUGGUGGGGGUUGGAAAGAGUCGGCGGUUGGGGAUGGACUCGCGGCUUAUCAGCUUGUUGGUGGGGUAGUGGCUUACAAAGGUUUUGACGGGUAGCCGGCCUGAGAGGGUGAACGGCCACAAUGGGACUGAGAGACGGCCCAGACUGCUACGGGAGGCAGAGGUGGGGAGUAUUGCGCAACGAGCGGAAGCGUGAUGCGGCGGCGCCGCGUGCGGGAUGACGGCCUUCUGGUUAUAAACCGCUUUCGAAUGUGACGAGGCCUUCGUGACGGUAAUGGAUAAAGAAGCACCGGCUAACUACGUG